UACGUAGGGUGCAAGCGUUAAUCGGAAUUACUGGGCGUAAAGCGUGCGCAGGCGGUUAUGUAAGACAGAUGUGAAAUGCCCGGGCUUAACCUGGGAACUGCAUUUGUGACUGCAUGGCUAGAGUUGGCAGAGGGGGGUAGAAUUCCACGUGUAGCAGUGAAAUGCGUAGAUAUGUGGAGGAACACCGAUGGCGAAGGCAGCCCCCUGGGUCAAGACUGACGCUCAUGCACGAAAGGCGUGGGGAGCAAACAGG
RNAcentral lists this ribosomal RNA (253 nucleotides) under uncultured bacterium. Its description in RNAcentral is "partial 16S ribosomal RNA". It matches the Rfam family "Bacterial small subunit ribosomal RNA", at positions 524 to 776 of the family's 1533-position model. The record is from RNAcentral.